CCUACGGGAGGCAGCAGUGGGGAAUCUUGCGCAAUGGGCGAAAGCCUGACGCAGCGACGCCGCGUGGGGGAAGAAGGCCUUAGGGUUGUAAACCUCUUUCAGGUGGGACGAAGCCACUCGGGUUAAUAGCCCAGAGGGUGGCGGUACCGCCAGAAGAAGCCCCGGCUAACUACGUGCCAGCAGCCGCGGUAAUACGUAGGGGGCAAGCGUUGUCCGGAUUUAUUGGGCGUAAAGAGCGUGUAGGCGGCUAGGUAGGUGGGUUGUGAAAACUGGAGGCUCAACCUUCAGACGUCGACCCAAACCCCCUGGCUAGAGUCCGGAAGAGGAGAGUGGAAUUCCUGGUGUAGCGGUGAAAUGCGCAGAUAUCAGGAAGAACACCCGUGGCGAAGGCGGCUCUCUGGGACGGUACUGACGCUGAGACGCGAAAGCGUGGGGAGCGAACAGGAUUAGAUACCCUGGUAGUCCACGCCGUAAACGAUGGGUGCUAGGUGUGGGGGGUGUCGACUCCCCCGUACCGAAGCUAACGCAUUAAGCACCCCGCCUGGGGAGUACGGCCGCAAGGCUAAAACUCAAAGAGUAAGUACGACGGUGAGAAGUAGUCGACGACGACGACGACGGAGGAGGAGG
Molecule: ribosomal RNA, 627 nt
Filed under: uncultured bacterium
Lineage: Bacteria
Description: bacterial SSU rRNA
Rfam family: Bacterial small subunit ribosomal RNA
Source: RNAcentral